CUGACUUCUUUACAUUUAUAAUGCCAACAACAUAUGGCAUUCCUAUAGGUUUAAUUCAGGUUCCCAUGUGAAGAAAAGUGUUAAUUUCUGUAGAAAUUACACAGCCCCUUGAUGUCAGGGCUAUGACACAAAUGCCUUCGUCUUUAAAAUUAGGGCACCAAACAACAUAAAUACCAAAGAGAGCAGCAUAGACAAUACAGCAGCCUCUUGAAAGUAACAGUUAAGGGCAUGGCUGCUAUAAAGGUUCCAGAAGCUGGAGGCAGCAGUCCAAAGAGCACUAAUGGUAAGAAGAUAGGCUGGGGCUGUGGUGACAGAAUGGUGGAGAGGCACAGCCAGGACACACACAGUGCAUAUAACAUAAUCAAAACCCAAAUUUAUUAAUUAAAAGAUGA
RNAcentral lists this long non-coding RNA (392 nucleotides) under Bos taurus (domestic cattle). RNAcentral describes it as "long non-coding RNA NONBTAT005631". The record is from RNAcentral. Lineage: Eukaryota; Metazoa; Chordata; Mammalia; Artiodactyla; Bovidae.